UUAUGGACGUCACUGCAAAUCAGUUUGUAGUGAAGGCUGCCUCUCAGUGUGUGAUAAAAAGAACGGAACAUGUGAGAAAUGUAAAGAGGGUUACGCAGGAGCAUUCUGUAUUGAUGUUCAUGUACUACAACGUCGGAUGACGUCGAUAAUCGAAAUAGCGGGAAUAACCACAAGUGUCGCCUGUUUCAGCAUACUGUUUGCACUCGUUUUGAAAAGGGAAAGACUAGGUCCUAUGUGAAGUCUACUUCAGUACGAAAGCAAUGGAAAAACCAAGCACCAUAACUGGCCAAACAAAUUCUAAUCUUCAUGAUGAGUGGAAACCUUUUUUCCCCCUUGUUUUUAAGUUCUGCCCGACAUGUGUAAUUAUAGCCCCAACAGAAGCUUAAUAUCUAAUUGUAUUAAAUUUCUAUGUGCUUGUAUUAAUAUCUGAACUGAAUUGACGUCUAAUUCUGGCACAGUGUACUCAUUAAUUACAUUUCUAAGUGUAAAGUAUUGUGUUUUUUGUAAACAUUCCCUUAUAACCUUACAAUAUAAUUUGCGUUUUUAUGCUCGUGUAGGAAAUUACAUGUAAUUUUAUUUUUUUGAACAAUACCCCCCCCCCCCCCCCUUGAAAAUAAA
Molecule: long non-coding RNA, 618 nt
Organism: Saccostrea echinata
Lineage: Eukaryota; Metazoa; Mollusca; Bivalvia; Ostreida; Ostreidae
Exons: 3
Source: RefSeq, a predicted model, not a curated record